CAAUAGCGUAUAUUUAAGUUGUUGCAGUUAAAAAGCUCGUAGUUGGAUUUCGGAUGGGAUUUGCCGGUCCGUCGUUACGAUGUGCACUGGCCAGUCCUAUCUUGUUGACGGGGACUAGCUCCUUGGAUUCACUUCCUGGGACUAGGAGCUGACGAGGUUACUUUGAGUAAAUUAGAGUGUUCAAAGCAAGCCUACGCUCUGAAUACAUUAGCAUGGAAUAACACGAUAGGACUCUGGCUUAUCUUGUUGGUCUGUGAGACCAGAGUAAUGAUUAAGAGGGACAGUCGGGGACAUUCGUAUUUCAUUGUCAGAGGUGAAAUUCUUGGAUUUAUGAAAGACGAACUUCUGCGAAAGCAUUUGUCAAGGAUGUUUUCAUUAA
RNAcentral lists this ribosomal RNA (379 nucleotides) under uncultured eukaryote. RNAcentral's name for it is "partial 18S ribosomal RNA". It matches the Rfam family "Eukaryotic small subunit ribosomal RNA", at positions 592 to 976 of the family's 1831-position model. The record is from RNAcentral.